This 86-nucleotide transfer RNA is filed under the name Echinostoma caproni. It matches the Rfam family "tRNA". From Rfam's summary of the family: Transfer RNA (tRNA) molecules are approximately 80 nucleotides in length. Their secondary structure includes four short double-helical elements and three loops (D, anti-codon, and T loops). Further hydrogen bonds mediate the characteristic L-shaped molecular structure. tRNAs have two regions of fundamental functional importance: the anti-codon, which is responsible for specific mRNA codon recognition, and the 3' end, to which the tRNAs corresponding amino acid is attached (by aminoacyl-tRNA synthetases). tRNAs cope with the degeneracy of the genetic code in two manners: having more than one tRNA (with a specific anti-codon) for a particular amino acid; and 'wobble' base-pairing, i.e. permitting non-standard base-pairing at the 3rd anti-codon position. Lineage: Eukaryota; Metazoa; Platyhelminthes; Trematoda; Plagiorchiida; Echinostomatidae. The record is from Rfam by way of RNAcentral.
GGCCCCGUAGCUUAGUUGGUCGAGUGUGCGUUGUACAAAAGCGUAGGCGGCGUCUACGCGUGUGGGUUCGAAUCCCACCGAGGCUA